Molecule: ribosomal RNA, 305 nt
Filed under: uncultured bacterium
Lineage: Bacteria
Description: bacterial SSU rRNA
Rfam family: Bacterial small subunit ribosomal RNA
Source: RNAcentral
UUUUCCUACGGGAGGCAGCAGUGAGGAAUAUUGGUCAAUGGGCGAGAGCCUGAACCAGCCAAGUCGCGUGAGGGAGUACUGCCCUAUGGGUUGUAAACCUCUUUUGUCGGGGAGCAAAGAGAGUCACGUGUGGCUCAUUGAGAGUACCCGAAGAAAAAGCAUCGGCUAACUCCGCGCCAGCAGCCGCGGUAAUACGGAGGAUGCGAGCGUUAUCCGGAUUUAUUGGGUUUAAAGGGUGCGCAGGCGGAGGUGCAAGUCAGUGGUCAAAUUGCGGGGCUCAACCCCGUAUUGCCGUUGAAACUGCA